UUAGUCAGAACAAAAAAAACCUCUAACCCUAAUCGAUUUGUCCAAGCCUUUGUAAAAACCAAAACGAGACCUCUACUCCUGAAAACCCUAGAUCUACAUAUCUCUGUUUGUCUUGUUUCUUAUUUAGUCUUCCUCUUAGAAAAUCCCUAAAUAAAUCUCUCUCUCUCUCUCUCUUUUCAUAUCAAUGGCGGAUUUUGAUAAACUAGAUAAUGGAGGAGGAGGUGGUGGAGGAGCCGACAUUAAAGACGACGGCGGUGGCGGCAGAGGAGAGGUUGAAGAGAGGGAUAGGCUAACGGAACUUGAAGGAAUCUCUGUGUUGGAUUUCGAUCUGCUUUGCUUGAGGGUUGCGCUUCAGACUCAGGGGAAAUGGAGGAAACUCGAGAGCUUGGAGGGUGACGAUGCGACGGAGGAAACGGCGGCAGCAUUUUGCGGCUUUGCGACGAAGGUACAAAAUUUUAUGAUGAAAAAUCUGUUUUGUUGAAGAUUUGGCUUAGUGGGAUUACAAGACAACCUUAGGAACAGAAUUGGAGAUUCUGUAGUACAGAGAGAGAACUGUAGGAAGCAUUUGCUGUUGUGAGAGAAGCUUCAAGGAGAGUUCUUAGACUCAGACCUUUCGAUGUGCAAUUAAUAGGUGGUAUGGUUCUCCGUAAAGGAGAAAUAGCAUAAAUGAGAACUGGUGAAGGGUAAACACUUCUUGCCAUUUUACCAGCUUAUUUGAAUGCAUUAAGUGGGAAAGGUGUUCAUGUGGUUACAGUCGAUGGUUAUCGGGCUCGGAGAGAUUGUGAAUGGGUUGGUCAAGUUCCACGAUUCCUUGGAUUGAAGAGAAUAUGACACCUGAACAAAGAAAGGAAAACUAUUUACGUGACAUCACAUAGGUCACCAACAGUGAGCUUGGAUUCGAUUAUCUGAGAGAAAAUCUUGCCACAGAAAAGAGUGGAGGAGCUCGUCUUGAGGGAUUUCAAUUAUUUUGUUAGUCAUGAAGUUGAUUCCAUACUAGUUGAUGAAGCAAGGACUCCUCUCAUUAUCUCUGGGCCCAUAGAGAAACCUAGUGAUCAGUAUUACAUAGCUGCAAAGAUUGCUUCAGCCUUUGAGCGGGAUAUAUAUUACACUUUUUAUUUGUAGAAGGUGAAAUAGCUGCUUGGUGGAAACCCCUAGCGUAUGCUGAAGACACCUUCCAAGUUAUGCUUAUAAGGUGAAGAAGAAGUAAGUGGUUGUGGGAUUGUGCUGGAAGAAGAAAUAGAGAUCAGCUGGUGCCCUAUUAAGCAAGAAGAGGAGCAUUUGGAUGAUGAUUGCUCUGAAAGGCGGUAAGCUUUAGAAAAGAAACUUUGUUUGAUCUAGUUACUUUAUUGUGUUUAAUAGAAUAGAGGGGAAGUUUGUUUCUCUUUGUCCUUAUAUCAUAAAUUAGUACUCUUAUUAUGUAAGAGUAGAGCAGUUGAUAUUUUUGUAUAAGAUUUGGUUUGGAUUAAUAUUAGUAAGUCUUGAUAUGUUU
This is a long non-coding RNA of Camelina sativa (false flax), 1489 nucleotides long. RefSeq lists it as uncharacterized. The record is from RefSeq and is a predicted model, not a curated record. NCBI's taxonomy places the organism in Eukaryota, Viridiplantae, Streptophyta, Magnoliopsida, Brassicales, Brassicaceae.